RNAcentral lists this ribosomal RNA (460 nucleotides) under uncultured bacterium. RNAcentral's name for it is "partial 16S ribosomal RNA". It matches the Rfam family "Bacterial small subunit ribosomal RNA", at positions 338 to 795 of the family's 1533-position model. The record is from RNAcentral.
CCUACGGGUGGCUGCAGUGAGGAAUAUUGGUCAAUGGACGGGAGUCUGAACCAGCCAAGUAGCGUGAAGGAUGACUGCCCUAUGGGUUGUAAACUUCUUUUAUACGGGAAUAAAAUGUUUUACGUGUAGGAUUUUGUAUGUACCAUAUGAAUAAGGACCGGCUAAUUCCGUGCCAGCAGCCGCGGUAAUACGGAGGGUCCGAGCGUUAUCCGGAUUUAUUGGGUUUAAAGGGAGCGUAGGUGGAUUGUUAAGUCAGUUGUGAAAGUUUGCGGCUCAACCGGAAAAUUGCAGUUGAAACUGGCAGGCUUGAGUACGGUAGAGGUGGGCGGAAUUCGUGGUGUAGCGGUGAAAUGCUUAGAUAUCACGAAGAACGCCGAUUGCGAAGGCAGCUCACUGGACUGCAACUGACGCUGAGGCUCGAAAGUGUGGGUAUCGAACAGGAUUAGAUACCCUAGUAGUC